CUGACGUAAGAGGGAAGGAUUGCGCUAUGCCGGAAGAGGUUAUCUCAGGUUGAUGCUCCUGGCCUUGGUGUUGGCGGAGGCGACCGCUCGGCCGCAGUUUCCAGGAGGACCCAACGAGCCGAAACCAGUGAAAGAACCGCCCAGACCCUGCCUGUGCCGCAUCCCGCCGUGCCCCUGCGAGAAGCACUUCCCAGGGUCGCUCGCGUCAGUGUUGGCGGCACCGAGUUCGCUCGGGUCGGCGGCGUUCAUUCAAAAGCCAUGAGGGGGGGGGGGUGUAGUGCUUUCAUGAUCAAUAAUCUGUUCAGUUCGUUUUGGAUGGUGUACUUCCAUUAUUCUAAAAAUACACAUUCCAAACAGG
Molecule: long non-coding RNA, 358 nt
Organism: Penaeus vannamei (Pacific white shrimp)
Lineage: Eukaryota; Metazoa; Arthropoda; Malacostraca; Decapoda; Penaeidae
Source: RefSeq, a predicted model, not a curated record